GUUUAUAUAGCUUAAGCAAAGCGUAGCACUGAAAAUGCUAAGAUGGGCCCUAAAAAUCCCUCUAAACA
RNAcentral lists this transfer RNA (68 nucleotides) under Hyloxalus yasuni. Its description in RNAcentral is "tRNA-Phe". It matches the Rfam family "tRNA". Rfam says of the family: Transfer RNA (tRNA) molecules are approximately 80 nucleotides in length. Their secondary structure includes four short double-helical elements and three loops (D, anti-codon, and T loops). The record is from RNAcentral. Lineage: Eukaryota; Metazoa; Chordata; Amphibia; Anura; Dendrobatidae.